UGCUGGGGUAACGUCCCAACAAGCCGAUAAUCGGUACGGGUUGUGAGAGCAAGAGCCCGGAGAUGGAUUCUGAGACACGAAUCCAGGUCCUACGGGGCGCAGCAGGCGCGAAAACUUUACACUGCGCGAAAGCGCGAUAAGGGGACCUCGAGUGCGUGCGCAAAGCGUACGCUCUUCAGAUGCCUAAAAAGCAUCUGGAAUAAGGGCCGGGCAAGACCGGUGCCAGCCGCCGCGGUAACACCGGCGGCUCAAGUGGUGGCCGCUAUUAUUGGGCUUAAAGGGUCCGUAGCCGGACCAGUUAGUCCCUUGGGAAAUCUUACGGCUUAACCGUAAGGCUGCCAAUGGAUACUGCUGGUCUUGGGACCGGGAGAGGCAAGAGGUACCUCAGGGGUAGGAGUGAAAUCCUGUAAUCCUUGAGGGACCGCCAGUGGCGAAGGCGUCUUGCUAGAACGGGUCCGACGGUGAGGGACGAAAGCUAGGGGCACGAACCGGAUUAGAUACCCGGGUAGUCCUAGCCGUAAACGAUGCGAGCUAGGUGUCACGUGGAUUGCGAAUCCAUGUGGUGCCGAAGGGAAACCGUGAAGCUCGCCGCCUGGGAAGUACGGCCGCAAGGCUGAAACUUAAAGGAAUUGGCGGGGGAGCAC
Molecule: ribosomal RNA, 644 nt
Filed under: uncultured euryarchaeote
Lineage: Archaea; Methanobacteriati; Methanobacteriota
Description: bacterial SSU rRNA
Rfam family: Archaeal small subunit ribosomal RNA
Source: RNAcentral